Molecule: ribosomal RNA, 711 nt
Filed under: Oocyclus maculatus
Lineage: Eukaryota; Metazoa; Arthropoda; Insecta; Coleoptera; Hydrophilidae
Description: partial 16S ribosomal RNA
Rfam family: Bacterial large subunit ribosomal RNA (bases 1-530)
Source: RNAcentral
AAUAGCCGCAGUAUUUUGACUGUGCAAAGGUAGCAUAAUCACUAGUUUCUUAAUUAGAAACUUGUAUGAAUGGUUGGAUGAGAAAUGAUCUGUCUCUAUAUAAUUUAAUUAGAAUUUUAUUUUUAAGUUAAAAAGCUUAAAUUUUUGUUAAAGACGAGAAGACCCUAUAGAGUUUAAUUUAUUUAGAAUAUUUAAUUUAUUAAGAAUUCAUGAUUUAAAUAAUAAAAUAAAUUUUGUUGGGGUGACAGGAAAAAUAAAUAAACUUUUCUUUUUAUUAACAUUGAUUUAUGAUUAGUUGAUCCAAUAUUUUUGAUUAAAAGAUUAAAUUACCUUAGGGAUAACAGCGUAAUUUUUUUUAAGAGUUCUUAUCGAAAAAAAAGUUUGCGACCUCGAUGUUGGAUUAAAAUUAAGAUUGGCGCAGCAGUUGAUCUUUUAAGUCUGUUCGACUUUUAAAAUUUUACAUGAUCUGAGUUUAAACCGGUGUGAGCCAGGUUGGUUUCUAUCUUGAUUUAAUUAAAAUAUUUUAGUACGAAAGGACCAAUUAUUUAUAUAAAAUAUUAGUUUUUGGAUUAUGAUAAAGUUACUUUGGCAGAUUAGUGCAUUAAAUUUAGAAUUUAAAUAUGUAUAAUUAUACAAGUAAUACUUGAUUAUAUUUGAUUUUCUUUUAUUAUUAGUUAGAGGAUUAAUUUUAGUAGUAUGUGUUUUAGUAGG